RNAcentral lists this small RNA (20 nucleotides) under Arabidopsis thaliana (thale cress). RNAcentral describes it as "AGO1_6042". Lineage: Eukaryota; Viridiplantae; Streptophyta; Magnoliopsida; Brassicales; Brassicaceae. The record is from RNAcentral.
UGGCAGAGUGGCCUUGCUGC